UGCUGCUUCUUCUUCUUCUUCUCUCUCGCCAAUGUUCAAACUUUCGGAUUUUUACGAGCUCCGUCUUCAUUGAAGCUUGUUGGUUACACCAUCUCGUGAUUACCCAAAACCUUGAGCAUGCAUGUGUACUCCACAAUGCACAAAAGGGCUUGUAUUUUGGAACCACUGGUCCAAGGUAGCCCAACAAGUUCUAGACAUUUUUAUAGGGCUCAUAAUUGGACAGGACCAGGAGAAAGUGUAAGCUUGGUUGUGAGAGAAGACUACAAACCAUUUACCGGACCCAGAA
Long non-coding RNA from Syzygium oleosum, 286 nucleotides. RefSeq lists it as uncharacterized. The record is from RefSeq and is a predicted model, not a curated record. Lineage: Eukaryota; Viridiplantae; Streptophyta; Magnoliopsida; Myrtales; Myrtaceae. The transcript has 2 exons.